RNAcentral lists this ribosomal RNA (507 nucleotides) under fungal endophyte. RNAcentral's name for it is "eukaryotic LSU rRNA". The stretch from base 182 to 335 matches the Rfam family "5.8S ribosomal RNA". The record is from RNAcentral. Lineage: Eukaryota; Fungi.
AUUGCUGGAACGCGCUUCGGCGCACCCAGAAACCCUUUGUGAACUUAUACCUAUCUGUUGCCUCGGCGCAGGCCGGCCUUUUGUGACAAAGGCCCCCUGGAGACAGGGAGCAGCCCGCCGGCGGCCAACUAAACUCUUGUUUCUAUAGUGAAUCUCUGAGUAAAAAACAUAAAUGAAUCAAAACUUUCAACAACGGAUCUCUUGGUUCUGGCAUCGAUGAAGAACGCAGCGAAAUGCGAUAAGUAAUGUGAAUUGCAGAAUUCAGUGAAUCAUCGAAUCUUUGAACGCACAUUGCGCCCUCUGGUAUUCCGGAGGGCAUGCCUGUUCGAGCGUCAUUUCAACCCUCAAGCCUGGNUUGGUGAUGGGGCACUGCCUUCUAGCGAGGGCAGGCCCUGAAAUCUAGUGGCGAGCUCGCUAGGACCCCGAGCGUAGUAGUUAUAUCUCGUUCUGGAAGGNCCUGGCGGUGCCCUGCCGUUAAACCCCCAACUUCUGAAAAUUUGACCUCGG